Long non-coding RNA from Hordeum vulgare subsp. vulgare (domesticated barley), 1462 nucleotides. RefSeq lists it as uncharacterized. The record is from RefSeq and is a predicted model, not a curated record. The transcript is spliced from 2 exons. NCBI's taxonomy places the organism in Eukaryota, Viridiplantae, Streptophyta, Magnoliopsida, Poales, Poaceae.
UGUCGCGCCCGAGCUAGGGUUCCGGCGAGCUCUCCCGGCCGCCCGCCCGGUAGAGGGGGCCGCGUCAGGGGCUCGCUCCCCGGUCGUGCCAUCCCACUCCCCUGGGGGAACCCGCCUCCGCUCCCAUCUUGGUGAGUUCAGUUCAGUUCAGGAGCCCCGCCCCCCUUCCUCCCUCGCCGCUCGCUGCCCCGGGGAUCCCUCUCCUGGCCUCAACCCGGCGCUGCUGCUGCUGCUUCCCGGAGCUCCUUUUGGUCCUUUUCUUAAUUCGGAAGCGGUGAAGAAUAUGCGAUCAUGAAUGCUGCCAUCACACAGAUAGAUUCAUGCCUUUCCGAGGGUCGAUGCUUGGAUUGUUUACUUAGUUUGCUGCUUGGUUGGUUGAUUGAUGGCUUGGAUCAGGGUGCAGACCUUGGCAUGCAUGUCCCAUCUCUCUAACGGGAGUUAGCAACCGUGAUGGCAAACGCUGGCAAACGGCAGGCCGCGCCUGGGGUGAUGGAUGAGACAUCCACACCGGAUUAGACACUGCGUCGCAGAACUUAGUGAAAUUUUAUAAGAUAUUCUUUUUUCUUCUACAAUUCAUCAUGUUUAGCUACUUGCCAGUUCAGCAUAUGUUCAGACAUUGUUGGAUUAAUACUACCGGUUUGCCUUUAGCUACGUGUUGUCCCCUUCAGCGCUCACGAGCAGAGGCAUCAAAUUCAUAUCACGGAUGGUUGGUACAUACUUCUCUUUUGCUGUUAUUGGUUGCCACUCAUUCCAUAUCAUCCUAUAGCCAUCGUGCAGUUCUGACUCUAUCAGGAAGAUUUGUAGAUGCAUUUGAUGCUGACCGGAUACAACGAUGAAUCCAUUGUGGGCAUGUUUGUUGGAACACUGGUCGACCAAUUUACAGAUGAGAAGGAAGUGGUAUUUCACAUAUAAUUAUUAUGCAGUGAAGUGGGUUGCUGGUUCCUGAAUUUAUGCCCAGAUUUAACAGUGACCGUCAUUCAAUUCCGAUCCAGGUUGAAUCAUUCAAAGAGAGCAAAUAAAACUACACAGGAAAGCAAGUACAAGGAACCAGGGUAGUGUUGUUUUCAGUUAGAAACUUUGAAGUACAUGGUGUGAUUGACACUACCAUUGAUGGAUUAGUUAUUGCUAUUCGGAAAAUCACCAUCCUGCUAGCUUCUCAUAUGGAUUCAUCUUCCCCGCGAAAGUACAUGGUUGAUUGAUGAACUUGAUCUUGGUGGUUGUUUCAGAUCUUGAACUUGAUCUUUAACGUAAUUGAUGAUUUGUUCUUGUAGCUUGACUGUCUGUAGCGUACUGUGUCAAGGAAGAAGAUGCAAAGCAGGACUCGUCGUGAAUACAACUAUGUGAGCGUGAUGUAACGCCUCUUUCAUUUUCUUUUUAUCUGCAGUAACCUGAAUCAAACAAUGUAUUCUUAGCACCAACUAUAAUUCUGAAGGAGAUUAAUGAGAAUAUUGAUCCCAAGAAA